GUAGGAUAGAGGCCUACCAUGGUUUUAACGGGUAACGGGGAAUUAGGGUUCGAUUCCGGAGAGGGAGCCGAGAAACGGCUACCACAUCCAAGGAAGGCAGCAGGCGCGCAAAUUACCCAAUCCCGACACGGGGAGGUAGUGACAAUAAAUAACAAUACGGGGCUCAUUUGGGUCUCGUAAUUGGAAUGAGUACAAUUUAAAUCUCUUAACGAGGAACAAUUGGAGGGCAAGUCUGGUGCCAGCAGCCGCGGUAAUUCCAGCUCCAAUAGCGUAUAUUAAAGUUGUUGCAGUUAAAAAGCCCGUAGUUGAACUUCGGGGUUUACCCAUUGGUCAGGCUUAAUUGUCUGCACUGGUGAGAUAAAUCUCUACCUUCUGAGGAACUUUCAUGCCAUUUAUUUGGUGUGAUGGGAAAUCAGGACUGUUACUUUGAAAAAAUUAGAGUGUUUAAAGCAGGCUAACGUCUGAAUACAUUAGCAUGGAAUAAUGAAAUAGGACGGACUGAUUCUAUUUCGUUGGUUUCUAGGAUCACCGUAAUGAUUAAUAGGGAUAGUUGGGGGCAUUAGUAUUCAAUUGUCAGAGGUGAAAUUCUUGGAUUUAUUGAAGACUAACUACUGCGAAAGCAUUUGCCAAGGAUGUUUUCAUUAAUCAAGAACGAAAGUUAGGGGAUCGAAGACGAUCAGAUACCGUCGAAGUCUUAACCAUAAACUAUGCCGACUAGGGAUCGGACGAAGUUAAUUUUAUAAUGACGCGUUCGGCACCUUACGGGAAACCAAAGUGUUUGGGUUC
This 786-nucleotide ribosomal RNA is filed under the name uncultured Diversispora. Its description in RNAcentral is "SSU rRNA". It matches the Rfam family "Eukaryotic small subunit ribosomal RNA", at positions 328 to 1114 of the family's 1831-position model. The record is from RNAcentral. Lineage: Eukaryota; Fungi; Glomeromycota; Glomeromycetes; Diversisporales; Diversisporaceae.